RNAcentral lists this ribosomal RNA (253 nucleotides) under uncultured bacterium. Its description in RNAcentral is "partial 16S ribosomal RNA". It matches the Rfam family "Bacterial small subunit ribosomal RNA", at positions 524 to 776 of the family's 1533-position model. The record is from RNAcentral.
UACAGAGGGGGCAAGCGUUGUUCGGAAUUACUGGGCGUAAAGGGCGCGUAUGCGGCCUUCUAAGUCGAACGUGAAAUCCCCGGGCUCAACCCGGGAACUGCGUCCGAUACUGGAAGGCUUGAAUCCGGGAGAGGGAUGCGGAAUUCCAGGUGUAGCGGUGAAAUGCGUAGAUAUCGGGAAGAAUACCUGUGGCGAAGGCGGCCAGCUGGGCCAGAUCCGACACUGAGGCGCGAAAGCGUGGGGAGCAAACAGG